Hyaena hyaena (striped hyena) is the source of this 341-nucleotide long non-coding RNA. RefSeq lists it as uncharacterized. The record is from RefSeq and is a predicted model, not a curated record. Lineage: Eukaryota; Metazoa; Chordata; Mammalia; Carnivora; Hyaenidae. The transcript has 3 exons.
GAUACAUAGUAUAACGUGAUCCAGAAACCAUGAUCCUUUUCCAGAUGUGGCCAGAAUCAGACCCAGGUUUGGGGACUGAAAAGUAAUAACCGUAUGCUCUGAUUUGAAGUAGUGACCUGACAAUGGCUUCAAACAAACUGAGACCUCUGGAUUCUUGACCAGAUCCCUGGUCGGGCCACAUGGAGUCUCAACUUAGAUGGGGCCUCACCAUCCGGGAGACAAGCCUUUUUCAUCCCAACCAGGGGUCUCCAAAGGGAGCUGUGCCUCCAGCCAGGAACCAGAAAACAACAGAGAAGGAUCCAAUGCAUAAAUCACAUGAUAAAUUCAUGCCAAGUGAUGAG